RNAcentral lists this ribosomal RNA (425 nucleotides) under uncultured bacterium. Its description in RNAcentral is "bacterial SSU rRNA". It matches the Rfam family "Bacterial small subunit ribosomal RNA", at positions 89 to 518 of the family's 1533-position model. The record is from RNAcentral.
AACUUAGUGGCGAACGGGUGAGUAACGCGUGAACAACCUGACCCAAAGAGGGGGAUAACAUUUGGAAACAGAUGCUAAUACCGCAUAAGACCACAACGUCACAUGGCGAAGGGGUCAAAGGAGCAAUCCGCGUUUGGGAGGGGUUCGCGUCCCAUUAGGUAGUAGGCGGGGUAACAGCCCACCUAGCCAACGAUGGGUAGCCGAGCUGAGAGGCUGAUCGGCCACACUGGAACUGAGACACGGUCCAGACUCCGUACGGGAGGCAGCAGGUGGGGAAUUAGUUGGGCAAGUGGGCGCAAGCCUCGACCCAGCAACGCCGCGUGAAGGGAAGUAAGGUUUCGGAUUAGUAAACCUCUGUCGCAGAAGACGAAGGAAGUGACGGUAUUCUGUGAGGAACGCCCGGCUAACUACGUGCCAGCCGCGGC